AUGUGGAAGAGAGACGACUGUGUGGAUAUUUAUCUCUGGUGUGGUUCCUUCCGUAUUCCUGUUCGUAUAGAGCUCAGAUCCAAGCAUUUGGGGUCCACUCGCAUCAAUCUAGAAGCACAGAUAAGGGCAGAUUUCUCACCGAUACAUCCCGGAUCCGGUAAAUUUACUUAUUCGCAGGAGGACGUGCACGGACGCGCCAGCGACGGUGCUGGCCGUGCUGGGAUCGGGGACGCCUCCUCUCAACGCCAAGUAGAAACCGGAUUCACCAAAGCCUCUCUACCGGGAUCGAAACGUUUUCCCACCUCCGGAGUACGUUAUAAUCACCUGCCUUUUCUGGCUAAUCACGGCCUCAAGUACUGUUUUAAACCACAGCUAGCAGCCUACAGCAUCAUUUAUUUGGCGCCAAGCCAGACUGAUGCAAAAUUACGGGGCUUAAUAGGCCUAGUGCCUACUGCCUAG
This 459-nucleotide ribosomal RNA is filed under the name Triticum aestivum (bread wheat). Its description in RNAcentral is "partial small subunit ribosomal RNA". The record is from RNAcentral. Lineage: Eukaryota; Viridiplantae; Streptophyta; Magnoliopsida; Poales; Poaceae.